Molecule: long non-coding RNA, 3095 nt
Filed under: Homo sapiens (human)
Lineage: Eukaryota; Metazoa; Chordata; Mammalia; Primates; Hominidae
Description: HSALNT0153259
Source: RNAcentral
UUUUUUCUUAUUUUUCUGGGCAAGUCUUUAUUUCUGCUUCAUGUUUGGAGGAUAUUUUUACUGGAUCUCUUCUAGGGUAAAAGUUUUCUUUUCUUUUAGCACUUUAAAUAUGUCAUGAACCUCUCUUUUGGCCUAUAAGAUUUCCACUGAAAAUCUGAUGCCAGAUGUAUUGGAGCUCCUUUGUGUUAUUUGUUUCUUUUGUCUUGCUGCUUUUAGGAUCCUUUCUUUAUCCUUGACCUUUGGGAAUUUAAUUAUUAAAUGCCUUGAGGUACUUUUUGGGGGUUAUCUGCUUAGUGUUCUAUAACCUUCCUAUACAUGGAUAUUGAUAUCUUUCUCUAGGUUUUGGAAGCUCUCUGUUAUUACCCCUUUCAACGGUUUUUCGACACCUACCUCUUUCUCUACCUGUUCUUUAGGGCCAAUAACUUUUACAUUUGCCCAUUUUAUGCUAUUUUUUAGAUCAUUUCAGUUUCUAGAGCUUGCUUCAUUUUUUUUUAUUCUUAUUUCUUUUGUCUCCUCCAACUGUGUAUUCCCCUAUAGCCUGUCUUCAAGCUCGCUAAUUCCUUCUUUUGCUUGAUCAAUUCUGCUAUUAAAGGACUUUGAUGCAUUCUUCAGUAUGCUGAUUGCAUUUUUCAACUCCAGAAUUUUUGCUUGAUUUUAAAACCUUAUUUCAAUGACAUUGUUAAAUUUUUCUGGUAUAAUUCUGAAUUCCUUCUCUGUGUAAUCUUGAAUUUCUUUUAGUUUCCUUAAAAUAGCUAUUUUAAAUUAUCUAUCUAAAAUGUCACAUAUCUCUGUUUCACCAAGAUUGGUCCCUGGUACCUCAUUUAUUUCAUUUGCUGAGGUCAUAUUUUCCUGGAUAGUCUUGGUACUUAUGAGUGUUCGUCUGUGACUGACCAUUGAAGAGUUAGGUAUUUAUUGUAGUCUUCUCAUUCUGAGCUUGUUUUUAUCCAUCCUUCUUGAGAAGGCUUUUUAGGUAUUCAAAAGGACUUGGGUGUUGUCAUCUAAGUCUGCUUUAGGGGGCACCCCAAGCCCCGUAAUGCUGGGCUGUGCAGAUUCAUAGAGGCACUGCCUUGAUGGUCUUUGACAAGAUCCAGAAGAAAUAUCUGAAUUACCAGGCAGAGACUCUUGUUCUCUUCCCUGACUUUCUCCCAAAUAAAUGAAGUCUUUGUUUUAAGCCACCUGAAUCUGGAUUAGUGGUGACACAAGCACUUCUGUGGCCACCAUCAUUGGGUAUGUCCUAUGUCAGACCUGAAGCCAGCAGAGCACUGGGUCCCAUCCAAGGCUCACUGAAACCACUGCCUGGCUACCACCUAUGUUUGCUGAAAGCACUGAGGUUCUACAUUUAGUAGGUGGCAGUGCCAGCCAAGCUUGUGUCUUGCCCUUCAUGGUAGCAAAUUACCCCAGGCUCCUGGUGCACCCAGAGGUACCAUCUGGAAAGCAGGGACUAGAGUCAGCAUUAGCUGAGUUCAAUCCGAUUUUGCUUUCUGCUGUGACAGGGGAGCACUGGUUUCAAUGAAGUGUCUCACAAUUGCUGCACUCUCCCUCUCCCCAAAGCACUGAUUCUCUCUCUGUGCCAUGGGUCCGCUGCCAGGAGAUAGUGGAGGAGUGGUGUUAGCAAUUCAAGACUGUCUUUUCUGUCCUCUUCAAUGCCUUUUUCAGUGAUGUGAAGUCAAAACUAGGUGCUAUAAGUGCUCACUUGAUUUUUGAUUCAUACAAAUUUGAUUGUUUUGUGUAGAUAGUUGUUAAAUUGGUGUCCUUACAGGGACGGGGCAAUCACUGCAUCCUUCUAUUCAGCCAUCUUGCUCUGCUCCUUUUAAAUUCUUUUUACUUGGACUGGACUCUUUACCAAUCUUCAAAAAAGUAUAUAAUAACCACCUGUCCUACUGUUCUUUCAAAAUGUCAACUUUAUUACAUAAUUCAAUUUCUACUAUAAACAUAUUUACAUCUAUCAUUUUAUUUUCUAAUUAUGGAUGGGACAAUGAUUCAUUCCUUUGUACCCACUUUUACUUCUGAUUGUUGUGAUCUAUUCUUCAUAUCAUAUUAUGAAAUCUGUUUUUGGUAAAAACGCAUUUUUUUUGUAACACUCCUGACAGGAACACUAUCUUCCUAUUCAGAACUUCUGUAAUUCCUUGAGCUGAAAAUAUGUGUCCAUGUCUCUUUCUCUUUACAAUGGAAAUACCUUGAGAACAGAUACACAUCCAUCAUUGUUUCUGCUUCAUCCUUUAAAAUAAUAUAUGCUCAUUUAACCCUGACCUCUCUAUAGCAAGGUUAAAGUAAUGUUUUAUUAAAGCAUAUAGAAUUUAUUUAUUGUAGGAGUUCAUGUCUUCUCACUCCAAGUUAAAAAUUAACCCCAGCUAUAAAAAUUAUCACUUGUGGUCUUCUGUUCCUAAAUAAAAUGCGUAUUAACUCUCUCAGCACCCAGAGCAGAGAUGCCUAUCAAGCAGCAUAUUUACCGAAUAGUUGUUGCAUUUAAAUGAAGGUUUGCAUUUCUAAACAAUUUAUUUCUGUCUCAUUCUAACCUAAUCAUGUAAUUAAAUGUUUUUCUUUCCAUUUUUGUUUCUGUAAAAACAGCUUAAUCUUAUCAUAUUGAAAAGGACAAUGCCCCCAAAUAAAUAGCCUUCUUAGAGUUCUCAAACAGCGUGUGGGAUUAAAAGAUGAAAGUUCUUGGUUUCAAACAUCUGACUUGCUUUUUCAGGGUCUAGAUCUUGAAGAUUCAGUGCUUGAAUUCCUCAGACAGAAGUUCUUAUUCAGAAUGACUUGCUAUUUCAUUUCCAUGUGUAUGCUUUGAGGCCACUUGUCUAAAAAAGGAUAAUUUUUUUUGCCAUUUGUAAAACUAAAUCUUAGAUAAGAGCCAAGAAAGAUACAUGCUGGGAUUCAUACCCUAAGGGAACCACAGUGGAAGAGUGAAUGCCUGUGAAUGCCUCUGAAAGCCAAAAGUUUGAGGAAAAGUUGUGAAGAGAGGAGCAGUCUUCAUGCUCUGCCUCAUUACUGCCAGGUAGAACUAAAAGUUCAGAUUCUCCGUUUGCCCAUUUGGCCUCCAUUGAGAUCCAAGGGUUUUGGCUCCUUAAAUAAGGUGAGGGUGACAAUCUGGAUCCCCA